This 6324-nucleotide unclassified non-coding RNA is filed under the name Pomacea canaliculata. RNAcentral describes it as "nucleolysin TIAR-like, transcript variant X7". The record is from RNAcentral. Lineage: Eukaryota; Metazoa; Mollusca; Gastropoda; Architaenioglossa; Ampullariidae.
CAAUUCCUCAGUGCGCAAGCGCAGUAGUUGUUUCGCGUGUUGAGCGUCGCCAUCAUGCAAAAUCAGGGCACAAUGGAGGAGGGCCAGCCACGAACUCUGUAUGUUGGGAAUCUGGACACCUCCGUCUCAGAAGCGCUUUUGAUAGCGUUGUUCGGUCAGAUCGGCCCGUGUAAAAGCUGCAAGAUUAUACACGAGGCUGGCAACGACCCCUACGCCUUCGUGGAGUUCUACGACCAUCACUCCGCAGCAGCAGCUCUCGCUGCCAUGAACAAGAGAAUGUGCAUGGGCAAGGAGAUGAAGGUGAACUGGGCCUCGUCCCCAAGCCUGCAGCCGAAGAUGGACACCAGCAAGCACUACCAUAUUUUUGUGGGGGACCUCAGCCCGGACAUAGAGCAACAUCAACUGCGAGAUGCCUUCAGAGUCUUUGGCGAAAUAUCGGACUGUAAGAUCAUCCGAGAUCCACAAACGCUGAAAUCCAAAGGCUACGGAUUCGUGUCCUUCAUCCAGAAAGUGGACGCUGAAACAGCCAUCAACAAUAUGAACGGACAGUGGCUAGGGUCACGACCGAUCCGGACAAACUGGGCCACGCGAAAACCGCCAGCUCCAACUCCGAAAGAAACAGGUGUAAAGCAGUUGUCCUAUGAGGAAGUCUACAACCAGAGCAGCCCUACAAACUGUACCGUGUACUGUGGGGGCGUCACCAACGGACUGACAGAGGAUGCCAUCCGUGAAGCAUUCAAGCGGUUUGGAACUAUUCAGGAAAUACGUGUGUUCAAAGACAAAGGCUACGCUUUUAUCAGAUUUGCAACAAAGGAGGCAGCGACCACAGCAAUCUGCCAAGUCCAUGGUACUACUAUAUUGGAUCAGACUGUCAAGUGCUCUUGGGGCAAAGAGUCUAAUGACCCCAGUCAGACCCCACAGCCUGCGGUUCAGCAGGCUUCUUUGGGCGCCCAGCCAUACGGGCAGUUCUACAACAUGGGUGCUGCCACCUACUGGAAUGGUGCCUACCCCAGCACCUAUGGCACCAUGGGGCCUGCUGCCGCUCAGGGUCAGUACCUGCAGGCGGGUGGAAUGGGGCAGUGGCAGCCAACCUACCCUAGCAACUAUCAGGCGGCUUACGGGAGUGUCAACAUGCAGUGGGGUCAGGUGCCGCUCCAGCCCAGCCAACAGCAGUUCAGCCAGCAGCAGGGACUUGUCGCCUACCCCAUGCAGCAGGAUGGCUCAGUUGAAUAUUAGCGUGUUGAAAGGGAUUCCCCACACAAGGGCCACGGCCAAACGCGUUAAAGGCAUUCUGGUUCCUGGGACAGUGACCUUCAUGUAGACUAGCUAGCGACAUGGGCUCAACACAGCGCGGCCACGCCCCUCCCCUCUUCUCUCCGUGCCCUUUCCCUGGCCUCGGUACCUGCAGCCGUGGCGACAGAGAGCGAGUGCGGACGGCCAGCGAGGUUGCGGGUGGCCAGCAUGGAAACAGCAUGUGCAGGAUCCGACUGACCUUGUGUGUACAUAAACCAUCUGUCGUAUCUAAUGUCACUUUUCUGAAGCAUGGAGUUGUGGACUUCACAUGAUGAUGCUGUGUUUGGGGCUUGGGUUGGGUGGUGGGGGCUUGCAGAAAGUUUAUAUCUGAUGUGGGGUGGGGUGGGAACGGCGAAUCGUUUGGGGUGCGAGGGUGUUGUAUUAUAUAAUGACAUUUAUAAUGAUGAUUGUUUCUGUGUCUCGACUGGCGGUGAGGGGCUGGUUAAAUGCAAGCACUUUUCCCAUUCUGUACAUACAAAUCCAGAUGUGUAGCUAGUGUUUAGAUGUAUGACGACCAUGUGGCUCUCGGAAAAAAAUGUAUGUGGAUAAAUGACGUGUUACAAACUAUUAAAAAAACUGACAAAAUUUCAAAAAAAAUUAAUCUGGAAAUGUGUUUGUGUGUGACUUCAUGGUUUAGCCAUAUGACAAUGUCCAGUGUGUAGACUUUAGAGGACUGUUGUCGGGCAACACCGAAUGUUUUUGAAAUGUAUUUUGUCACGGACGGUGUGGCUGUAACUCGCAGUGACCAACGCGAGAAUCCACCAUGCCAACGCAGCGGCCUGGACACGCACGGACGAUCAGAGGGAAGGGAAGCUACUCCAUAGUCAUUUUUCUUUAAAUUACUGUCGUUGCAAUCCUUUAAGCCUCCUCGCGGCCAUAGAAAUCUCGUAAUCCUUUUAGGACCAUAUAAACGCCCCUUUCAAUUUUUUAGAAAAUAAAUCUUAACUGCACUUCUGAAACUGUUACCUCUAACAUUUGCAUUCCAGGACAGUCGCGAUUUUAGUGCGACCUUUUUUGGUUUAGGGGUGGGGAUGUAGGCCUGCUGAAAAUUAAAAGGCAAGACCGUUCUUAGCCAGACAAAUACGACUAAAAUGUUGCGAGUUCAGCAAGUUUUUUGAAAUUAACAAAACGUUACCAAACAUGCUUGAAUGUUUGUCUUUAUUUGUCCGCUAAGAAGGGUCUUCAUGGAGUAGCGAGUGAACCUUGUGCAUGGUCUGCAAGAAGAGUUGUGCUUGCAGGAGAGUAAAGGCGUCGGACAAAUGGAGUUUUUCUGGGUAGCACUAGAACUAACCAACCACCAUCAGCAGGCACCUGACUUCUUCUCUGUGGUGCGUCCAGGUUGCAAGUUGGCCAGAUUUUUUUAAAUAUAUAUAUAUGAAAUGUACUGCACACAAGUUCCUUCACUGUAAAUUAUGGCUCAUUGCAGCGAGGUGCAUAUUGGUUACAUUUGUUUUUGUCUGUCCUUUGUUUUCUCUCCCCCUCAACCCCGUUUGUAACAAUUUAAAUGAAAGCAGCUGUCUGCGUGAUGUACGAUAGAGAAACUAUAUUUGAUACGCCCAUGAUGCGUCGAAGUGCAUGCAUGAUCUGUGUAUGAUAAGGACAUGUCAGGCUAAAAUCCUGUUGGUCUGUGGCGCAGCGUUAAAUGGAGUCUGUCCAUGUGUGAGGUCCUUGCAUAGCCAUUAUCUCGGACGUUAUAUUGCGGUUCCUGUUCGAAUACGUACAAUUAAUUAUCUUUGCAAUGGCAUAUGUAUGGUGGCGUUUUCUUUUUAAUAUGUGCGAAAGGUGAAAACUGCUCAGACGGAUCAGGAACUGAGAUGGUUGUCGCCAGCUGGAUAGGGCUUGUCCUGCUGGAAACGGUUGCCCAUCGUCAGGGAGAGCUAAUGCCAGCCUUGUCCAAACAUUAUUGGACAACCGACAUUGUGCAUUUCAGAAAGCAGGUCCGUGCUACGCGCCCACAGCUUGUGCCGAGGCUAACUGGGUUAGGAUGGGAUCCUUGACAGUUAACUUGGACCAAGUUAUGGACGACUACAUGCUCUAGGAUAAAACCCAUAGGAGGAUCGACAAUUGUUUGCAGUUGUUAGAGGGAUGUCGCGGUAAUAGGCGAAAGGCAAGCUCGCUCGGUAGAACUUCCUUUGCCAACUUGGGAAGAGUGGCGAGGUAGAGAAAAGCGGUUAAUUCAGUGUCUGGCUCCCAGGGAGAGGGGGUGGGAACAGUGUCACCCUAUUAACUUUGACGAAUUCACAGGUAUUGAUAAAUUAUCAAAUAAUCACCUGACUGGGCUUGGAACGACACGCUGGCCCCGAUUCUUGUUGUUGCAUGUGUGCGAGUGUACAGACAAAUGGUUCAUUAUAUGGAUAUUUGUGUUGACUAUAAUGUUGAUGAUGAUGCAUUCGUUGUGUGCGAUGUUUAUUAUUACUAUUGAAGGUAUUUCUAUGCGGAAGUUGCCUGCACCUGUAGAUAUGUCAUCUUUCGCUCGCACGCUCUCUCGUUCACACACACACACAGCAUGGUAGAGUAGUUGAUCAUUACUGUAGUCUAGUAAACAUGUCAACCUGGAUCCAGUGCCCAUCGGUUCUUGGCUCGUUAUACAGUCGUCUCGCUGGUGGGCAAUGGCACCACUGAAGGUAACCAUGGUUGCGCGGUGACACGAAGGACCCUGGUCGUGCUCGGCGACUGCAGUUUGGGGGAGGGGAGGGAGAACUGGUUGUAGGUGGUAGGUUUUAGUGCUCAUCGCUCCAGCAUUGAAUGUGUGUGCCUCUGUAUAUACGUGUGACCAUGGGUAAAAUGCCACAUUUGUUUUUGUAUCCAUGCCAACGCUAUUGUCAGAACGAAUUCUCGCUGAAGAACGCGAGUACACUCUGGCUGUAGUCGUGAACCGAGAGCUACUCGUUGUCCCGGGGACAAGCGUCUUAGUUUCAUGCAGGCGUCCAGACUUGACCCCUGAGUUAGAAAGCAGUGACACUGGGGUAACAGCAAACUUUGUUCGGACAUUGUGUCCCAGCUAUGAAGACAAGUUUCUUUUCUUCCAGCGUUGACAACGACUUGCCCACGGGAGCCCGUAGUCACAAGCGAGAGUACCUAUCUGGCUUUCUCCACCUUUUUAGCAACCAGACUUCUGUACCGCGGAAUGUUCAUCAACAGGCGACUCGCGUUCACUUACAAAGAAACAUGCAAAUGUAUGUAUACCAUGGUCACACUUCCCUUACUUUCAGUUUUCAUGUUUCAGUGGGAAACUGUAACUGCUGAGUGCUGCAAUCUCUGUAUACGUACGGAAGCUGUGGCUUCUCUGUUUUUUCCUCCAAGACCGAGAAUAUGUUUGGGCGUGAUGAUUUUCUUUGUCUGGUCAUAGGACAAGUGUUUCUCUCUCUCUGAGUGCAGUAUGUCGUAUUUGUAUUUGCAACUCCUGUUGUGGUCUAACCAACAAAAAUGCAGUUUAAACGGAUGCUAUUCUUUUGUCUCAGGUCUGUGUGCACACAUCAAUGACUUUUGUAACUUUGGCACACUGUUUACUACUCACGGCUGUCUUCAGGCGUCUCGCCCUUCUUUACCUCCUGGUCAACACCUCCAAACUAGGAGCGAGGUUGAACGCUGCACCGACCUCGCUGUUACGGUCGUGUGUAAAUCCCACUGUAAACAAAUGGUAGGGGUUGUGGAAGAUUCCCAGUGGGUUGGGAAGAUUUGCCAAUUUUUGAGACAGAACUGAGGUCCUGCACACAGGAGAAGAGCGGCUAGUGCAGCGGAAAGUUUAUUAAUCGGACUAGUGACCGCUCCUAAACAUCUGUGACUAGGUACCAAGUGUUUAUUGGGAUGUAAUUGCUCUCCCUAUCUCCACCUACCCACUUUGACACGUCGACGUUUUUCUCGCGAGAUAUGGGUGGAGAGGAGGAGUGGUUGACCGGUUUUACUUAGCAUCUAAUGUUGCCCGCAGGAUUUUCUGGCCCAGUCGUUGACAGUUGGGUUGUCGAUGCUGGUGCAUGGCGGGAUCAUACUGACAUCAACUAAGGAGACAGGUGCUGAGAGAGAUGGGUGGUGACAGCCACUCGCGGUAUAAAGUGCAGAGGGAGUAUGAAGGUUGCAAUAACCUAGUAUCUCCUCCCCACCCCCAGUCCCCAAAUUAAAGUGUGAAGUCUCUACGCUCCUGUUGGUACAACAGCUGUCGUAGUGUCGCUGUGGCCUUGCGUUUAUAUGGCUGGCUGCUUACACCCAGGCCUGUUGAUGAGUUCACGGGACAUGUUUGGCUUCCCCACCCUCUCUUCUCACCCUCUUGCAGUAACCGACCUCACCCGCCGUGCCCAGUUUCUUUUUUUGGCCGCGGUCAUCGGCACGGCUUUUCCAAUAUAACAAAGGUUUGAGGAUUAAGGGAAAUUGCGACAAAAUUCCACGCGAGCGCUGAACUCGGGUCUGUUUGAUGCUUGUGCACGUGAACGGCCACUAGGUGUCCUCAUGGAGCACCUUGAAUGCCUUUUCUGUAGGCUGUCAAACCGUUUUGCAUCGGGGUUGUUUUUGUUUUGUUUUUUCCUACAGCGUAGACCUCUGGGCAGAGUCACUUUGUUCUGAAGAAAAUGAGGGGUUGGGGUGGUCUUAGAAGCGAUUUUUUUUCUUGUUUGCUCAUUCUUGCAUAACCAACCCAGAUACCUUUAAGUUCAUCGUUUGGCCGCAGUAACAUAAGCAGUUUUCUGUAUCACCACCUUCACCAUCACCUGCUGCUUUGACCGCCCAACAGCCUCACAUGUCUUACCUGGCAGGUUUUGGUCCCCUCCCCCGUGCUGUGAGGUUGACGGGAAACUAAAGUUGUGGAGAGAAGUUAGAACACCUUCCUUGCGGCGUUUUCUCAGUAGUCUCUGUAUCUGUACUAGCCGUUAUGUUUUGUUCAUUUGGCACGUUGCUGGUAAGCCAACCCUCUCCCCUCUUGUUUCCAAGUGACUGUGCCAAGACAAGGUUGUAUAUAUACUAGGAGCAAAAGGGAAAAAAGAGACGAUGAAAAUGAUAAUCUGUUUGGCGUUGGAGAUUAAAAACCAGAUUUCUACCAUG